GAUGAAGAACGUAGCGAAAUGCGAUACGUAAUGUGAAUUGCAAAUUCAGUGAAUCAUCGAAUCUUUGAACGCACAUUGCGCCCGGUAGUAUUCUGCCGGGCAUGCCUGUUCGAGCGUCAUUUCAACCAUCAAGCCCCAGCGCUUGUGUUGGGGGCCUGCGGCUGCCGCAGCCCCCUAAAAGCAGUGGCGGGCUCGCUAUCACACCGAGUGCAGUAGUUCAUCUUCUCUCCGGUCUUGUGAGGCGGGUUCCGGCCGUGAAACACCCCACUACAUUCAAGUUUGACCUCGGAUCAGGUAGUAAUACCCGCUGAACUUAAGCAUAACAAUAAGCGGAGGA
This 337-nucleotide unclassified non-coding RNA is filed under the name soil metagenome. Its description in RNAcentral is "partial contains 5.8S ribosomal RNA, internal transcribed spacer 2, and large subunit ribosomal RNA". The stretch from base 1 to 119 matches the Rfam family "5.8S ribosomal RNA", at positions 35 to 154 of the family's 154-position model. The record is from RNAcentral.